GAUGAACGCUGGCGGCGUGCCUAAUACAUGCAAGUCGAGCGAACAGACGAGGAGCUCGCUCCUCUGACGUUAGCGGCGGACGUGUGAGUAACACGUGGAUAACCUACCUAUAAGACUGGGAUAACUUCGGGAAACCGGAGCUAAUACCGGAUAAUAUAUUGAACCGCAUGGUUCAAUAGUGAAAGACGGUUUUGCUGUCACUUAUAGAUGUAUCCGCGCCGCAUUAGCUAGUUGGUAAGGUAACGGCUUACCAAGGCAACGAUGCGUAGCCGACCUGAGAGGGUGAUCGGCCACACUGGAACUGAGACACGGUCCAGACUACUACGGGAGGCAGCAGUAGGGAAUCUUACGCAAUGGGCGAAAGCUUGACGGAGCAACGCCGCGUGAGUGAUGAAGGUCUUCGGAUCGUAAAACUCUGUUAUUAGGGAAGAACAAAUGUGUAAGUAACUAUGCACGUCUUGACGGUACCUAAUCAGAAAGCCACGGCUAACUACGUG
This 497-nucleotide ribosomal RNA is filed under the name uncultured bacterium. RNAcentral describes it as "partial 16S ribosomal RNA". It matches the Rfam family "Bacterial small subunit ribosomal RNA", at positions 28 to 507 of the family's 1533-position model. The record is from RNAcentral.